RNAcentral lists this long non-coding RNA (1098 nucleotides) under Homo sapiens (human). Its description in RNAcentral is "HSALNT0352979". The record is from RNAcentral. Lineage: Eukaryota; Metazoa; Chordata; Mammalia; Primates; Hominidae.
ACAUUUGCUUCCAUGGCCUCAAGCUUUAGGACACAUUCACUCUCAUUAGGAAGAAAGAGAUCUCUGUCUCUCCUGAGCACACGGCUUCAUAAACCAGCUGCACAAGCAACUGCAUCUGGGGAUCUGCUUCAAGAGAAACUUAACUAAAGCAAGAAUGGGCUCUAACUUCAGGAUACCUAGGAUUCUAACCUCGUUCCAUUACUUACCAACGAUAUGACCUGGGAAAAAUUAUAUACCUGCUGUAAGCCUCAAUGUCCUCAUUUGAAAUACACACAUAAUAGUAGGAUCUCUCUUACAAGGUUGCUGAAAAUAUAAACAGUGGUUAUCAAUGGAAAAAGCUUCUCUCAGUGCUUGGCAAAUAGGAAGCACUUAAUAAGUGUUUUCCGGUAUUUUUAUGAUUAUCAUCAUUACUAUAAUUCCCAAGGCACCCAAAACCCAUGCUAGUCCUCUGGAGACAUGAUUUCUCCAGCUCAAUUCAACUAGGCUGCUGGCUGCUGAGAAUAAUAGAAGAGCUGCAUUUUUAGAGACGGCAGCCAGGAGCUUGUGAUAGAAUGGGGAGAAACAGAAUUCGAAUGAGCAGAAUCAGGAAGUCUGGAUAUUUCUGGAUGUUUUCUGCUCAUUCAAAUAAAUUUUGUAGACGUUUACAGAGUUCCAUGUGCCAGGAACUGUGGUAGGUUCUAGAUAUCCAAGAGGAAAUGUAUUUUAUUCUUUGCAAGGGGGGUUCAUUUUGUGAUGUAAUAGUAACUCCCUCAAGUAUUGGAUACAUAAAAGUAUAAAUGCUGGUUGUUAAAUUAUGACACACUGGAAAUUCUCAGGUAAGUUUCUAGGAAGUGAAAUAAAUAGGCUUGGGGAUACAUCUAGUUGUAAUAUAAUUAAGUUAGUUAUAUAAGCUUUUAAUGGAUUAUAUUUUUGUAAGUACCAAUACUUGUAAAAUUUUUGCUUUUAGCAAAUUAGGUACCAUUUGAAUACACUGGCUGAUGCUUAAUAAGAAUUAGAACUACAUUUUGCUUGUUGUGUAAGUAAAUAUCACGUUACAUGCUUGUUUAAUGUUUGUGAAAACCAUUCCAAACAAUCUCUUUAGAAUAAGAGUCUAAUUAC